AUGGUGGCCGUGGAUCUGGAGAGAUGUGGUCUCUAGUAGCCAGCUUCAAAGGGCCUGUGUUAAGGGGGUUGGGGGUGACAGUUAAAGGCCCCAAAAUGCCUUAUUUUAUGGUGUGUCUGUGUCUGGGGGAUGGUAGUGUAUUCAGAAAUUCCUGAGGGAACAGCUAUUUGAGAUGAAGCUGUGGACCUGGAAGGAACUGCAGGUAACCUGGGGGAGGCAGGCUGGCAGAGAAGCCUGACUGAGGGGGAAGGGGAGCUCCUUCCCUUCCCCUGUAGCCCCAGGAUGAGGCAGCAGGCCCACCACCCCCAAACAUCCUAGACCCCAUACGGUUCAGAGGAAAAGAACAUGGGCUUCCGGGAGGGAGCUGGGCCAUCUGGAGCCCCUCCCCCAAUUCCUCAUUGACUCUGGGCCGCUGCCUGCCUGAGAGGCACAGCAACAGGGUCCAGCAGGGGCGGAAGGGUACCGUCUGUCUGCCCCCCCCCCAAGUUGGCACCACCAGCAAGCAGCGGGUGUCGAGCCUCCCACCCCCCAGGCUGCCUGGCGCUGACUCAGCACCGUCUCCCCCCACCCCCAACCCCGGAACAAACAAUUCUUCACUGUGACAGCUGACACACAUCACUCACCAGGGUUGCCUAGUGACUAGUGGGACCUGGGGUUCUGGCUCAGAAUGCUUUACUUUGAACAGCUUUGAAGACCACACUCUCUCUCCCGGCCUUCACAUCUACAAGCCCAUUUUACCAAUAAGGAAACAGCUCCAGCCUGAUAAGAUGACCAAGCUAAAAGGGUGAAAAGCACAGUGCCUCCCAGUGGAAGGGGCUCCAGAAGGGUUUGCAGAGAGAACAAAGGACCCAAGUUCUGCCCCCACAGGAAUGUCCAAGGCCCUGGGCCUGGGACAAGAAGCUCGUAAUGGAUUCGAAGUGAUGGAGGAAGAGAAAAACAGAGCAGAGGACAAGAAACCCAACUGGGAGACCUAGAUGAAGACUGGAGCAACAAAGUGAGGGACGGGGCUGGAGAUAGACCCAAAGCAGGCCUGAAACCAGAGCAGUUGCUGGAUAAAGACUCACCAGGGGAAGUUGGAUGGGGCUAUACACAGAAAAACCAGGGCCCAGAAGCUGAGUCUCGGCUGCCUAGAACCAGAUGCCCUCCGUUCUUACCUGGACUGGUUCUUCCACACUCUUGUUAAGGAAGUUAAGAGAGCUGGCCCUCUUCAUCCUGAGGAAAAGGAGGGCCAUGCCUUCUGCCCAGCCUCAGAGUACCAGGUUGUUCUUGGUCUUCGCUACAUUGGGGUCAUCAGGACCAAGGCGUGUGGCAUAGAUCUCCAAGGCUCUCCGGUAGUAGUAUUCCACCUCCUCAGCUUUGCCCUGGUUCUGGC
This is a non-coding RNA of Rattus norvegicus (Norway rat), 1372 nucleotides long. NCBI's taxonomy places the organism in Eukaryota, Metazoa, Chordata, Mammalia, Rodentia, Muridae. The record is from RefSeq and is a predicted model, not a curated record.